CUACCCGGGUAUCUAAUCCUGUUUGCUACCCACGCUUUCGUUCCUCAGCGUCAGUUGUUUCCCAGAGACCCGCCUUCGCCACCGGUGUUCCUCCUGAUAUCUGCGCAUUUCACCGCUACACCAGGAAUUCCAGUCUCCCCUGAAACACUCAAGUCUGCCCGUAUCGCCUGCAAGCCCGAAGUUGAGCCCCGGGUUUUCACAAACGACGCGACAAACCGCCUACGAACUCUUUACGCCCAGUAAUUCCGGACAACGCUCGCACCCUACGUAUUACCGCGGCUGCUGGCAC
Molecule: ribosomal RNA, 289 nt
Filed under: uncultured Rhodococcus sp.
Lineage: Bacteria; Bacillati; Actinomycetota; Actinomycetes; Mycobacteriales; Nocardiaceae
Description: partial 16S ribosomal RNA
Source: RNAcentral